This 710-nucleotide ribosomal RNA is filed under the name Phaeobacter sp. Its description in RNAcentral is "bacterial SSU rRNA". It matches the Rfam family "Bacterial small subunit ribosomal RNA", at positions 40 to 794 of the family's 1533-position model. Lineage: Bacteria; Pseudomonadati; Pseudomonadota; Alphaproteobacteria; Rhodobacterales; Roseobacteraceae. The record is from RNAcentral.
CGGACGGCAGCUUACACAUGCAAGUCGAGCGCACUCUUCGGAGUGAGCGGCGGACGGGUUAGUAACGCGUGGGAACGUGCCCUUCUCUAAGGAAUAGCCACUGGAAACGGUGAGUAAUACCUUAUACGCCCUUCGGGGGAAAGAUUUAUCGGAGAAGGAUCGGCCCGCGUUAGAUUAGAUAGUUGGUGGGGUAAUGGCCUACCAAGUCUACGAUCUAUAGCUGGUUUUAGAGGAUGAUCAGCAACACUGGGACUGAGACACGGCCCAGACUCCUACGGGAGGCAGCAGUGGGGAAUCUUGGACAAUGGGCGCAAGCCUGAUCCAGCCAUGCCGCGUGAGUGAUGAAGGCCUUAGGGUCGUAAAGCUCUUUCGCCAGAGAUGAUAAUGACAGUAUCUGGUAAAGAAACCCCGGCUAACUCCGUGCCAGCAGCCGCGGUAAUACGGAGGGGGUUAGCGUUGUUCGGAAUUACUGGGCGUAAAGCGCACGUAGGCGGAUCAGAAAGUAUAGGGUGAAAUCCCAGGGCUCAACCCUGGAACUGCCUUGUAAACUCCUGGUCUUGAGUUCGAGAGAGGUGAGUGGAAUUCCGAGUGUAGAGGUGAAAUUCGUAGAUAUUCGGAGGAACACCAGUGGCGAAGGCGGCUCACUGGCUCGAUACUGACGCUGAGGUGCGAAAGUGUGGGGAGCAAACAGGAUUAGAUACCCUGGUAGU